This 758-nucleotide unclassified non-coding RNA is filed under the name Hevea brasiliensis (rubber tree). Lineage: Eukaryota; Viridiplantae; Streptophyta; Magnoliopsida; Malpighiales; Euphorbiaceae. The record is from RNAcentral.
GGUGUUUGAUUUUGGUUUUAAGUCCUUUUUUUUUUUUAUCUGGUGUUUUAGCUGGAUGGUUGAUUGUUUUAGUAUGAAGUUAUGUAGUGGAUUUGAGGUAUCUAAUUGAGAUUAUGCUUGAUUUUGGAGAAGUAGUUUCUUCUAGCCAGAUAAAUCCUUUUCCCCACUUAUAUAAGCUUUAAAUCUGCUACCUGUAUAAGAGGAUUUGUGCACACUACUGAUAUUUAAUCACCCAUGUACUCUGUUUCCAUAUAAAUUAAAAUUUUGAUGUGUCGAUUAUUGGGGUUAUUUUGUUUUUGAGAAAGGGUUGAUUUGAUAUAAUUGUUAAAUUUUAUGAGAAAUUGGUUUAGGAGAUGGUUACAAUUUCUUUGAACUUGAGGUUUGUUUUAAAUAAGUGAUGGCAUUUGGUCAAUGGACAUGAGAUAUUUACUGAUUGGAAGGGAGUUUUCAUGUACAACAGUAUAAUAUAUGUGGGUUUUGUUAUGUUGUGAUUGGAAGCUCAAUUUGGUUGUUGAAUUUCAGGUGAUAAGCUUCUCUCCGACUCAUUCCCAUAUAAGGAAAUCGAGAACGGGAUGUUAUGGGAAGUUGAGGGAAAGUGGGUUGUUCAGGGAGCAAUUGAUGUAGAUAUUGGUGCUAACCCUUCUGCUGAAGGUGGGGAAGAAGAUGAAGGUGUUGAUGACCAAGCUGUCAAGGUUGUUGAUAUUGUUGAUACAUUCAGGCUUCAGGAGCAACCAGCUUUUGACAAGAAGCAGUUUGUC